This is a long non-coding RNA of Mesocricetus auratus (golden hamster), 499 nucleotides long. RefSeq lists it as uncharacterized. NCBI's taxonomy places the organism in Eukaryota, Metazoa, Chordata, Mammalia, Rodentia, Cricetidae. The record is from RefSeq and is a predicted model, not a curated record. The transcript is spliced from 3 exons.
CUGUAAGAGACAGAACCUAGCCAGUUUUCCUGAGAGUACAGGUAGUGACUGUGUCUUACUUAUUCCAUUGGUGGGAGCUCAACUUCAGUCUGAUGCUACUGGCCAAUCCAACAUUAAGAGGAAAAGGAAAGUUCAGGAGAUAUGAGUCCUUGUUGGGUUCUGGAAGCUGAAAUUCAAGCUCAAGAUGUCAGCAAGUUUGACACCUGCCGAGACCAGUGUCCUUGGCUUGCGGGUGGCCACCCUAGCGGACUGAUACUACCAAAAGCCCUGGAGCAAGUAGGAGCUGUUGGAGGAGAGGGUGGCAGGAGACUGUUUCUAGCUAAACCGAGGCGUCUGCUUCUAUCUUUAAAGCUGUAGAUAAAAGAUCCGGAGAGUAACGGGUAGCAUUGCCAGAGCUGGAGUCAAAUAGGCUGCCUUCACGUGAAUUUAACCUUGGGACAGUCACGUCACUCUCAGCUCUUCCGGUUUUUUUUUGUUUUUGUUUUCCUCGCCCAUAAAA